This is a long non-coding RNA of Mytilus californianus (California mussel), 506 nucleotides long. RefSeq lists it as uncharacterized. The transcript is spliced from 3 exons. Lineage: Eukaryota; Metazoa; Mollusca; Bivalvia; Mytilida; Mytilidae. The record is from RefSeq and is a predicted model, not a curated record.
CUCAUUUUAUCCUUAUUUGAAAAUAGUAAAUUUUUAAAUGGAAAACAACUAUACAUUUGUAUUUGUGAUAUAUGGCAUCACAACUAAUAUGCAGGUUUUACUUCUUAUAAUGUUAUGUGCAGGUUUUACUUCUUAUAAUGUGAUGUGCAGGUUUUACUUCUUAUAAUGUGAUGUGCAGGUUUUACUUCUUAUAAUGUUAUGUGCAGGUUUUACUUCUUAUAAUGUUAUGUGCAGGUUUUACUUCUUAUAAUGUUAUGUAGAUAUAAGAAGAUGUGGUAUGAGUGCCAAUGAGACAACUCUCCAUCCAAGUCAAAAUUUAUAAAAGUAAACCAUUAUAGGUCAAAGUACGGUCUUCAACACGGAACCUUGGCUCACACGGAACAGUAAGCUAUAAAGGGCCCCAAAAAAUUACUAGUGUAAAGCCAUUCAAACGGGAAAACCAAUGGUCUAAUCUAUAUAAAAAACGAGAAACACUUAUGAACCACAUCGACAGUGCAGGUUUUACU